GACUUAAAAUUAAAUGAGCCGAGUUUGAACAAAAUAAAAGACUCGAAAUUUAUUUCAAGCCGAGCUUGAGUAUUACUCGGCUCGUUCGAAUUAGACUCGAAAAGCNAUAUAUAUAUAUAUAUAUAUAUAUAUAUAUAUAUAUAUAUAUAUAUAUAUAUAUAUAUAGAGCUAGGCUCUUAUGCUUUCGAAAAUACGGAAGCAUCCGUAUUUAUAAGUUGUUUUUAAUAAUGGGGCAUCCGAUUCGGCGAUCGGUUCCGUUAGACAUGAUCUACUCUAUUAGAACUACCUAGAAACCAAAUUUCAUAAUUUUUUGACUUCAUUUGUGUAGUAAACGAGUAGCCUCAAAAUGAACGGCUGAAAAUAAAAAUCUCAUAAAAAACAGUGAUAAAGGACUCAAAUUUCAAAUCGGAAGUAUUGGCCUUACUAUUGAUGUUAAGUAGAAUUUUCUAUUAAAUUUUCAUCUAAUUUGAAUACUUUUACACCGUUGAGCUUAAAAACGUGCCACAUCGGCCGUUAAAAUAGUCAUUUUUGAGACCUUUUGAUCGCUUGGUAAAUGAUGUCAAAAAAUUAUAAAAUUUAGUUUCUUAAUAGUUCCAAUAGAAUAGAUUAUACUUAACAGAGCCGAUUGUCGAAUCGGAUUUUCUAUCAUUGUAAAUAAUUUAUAAGCACUGAGUUCUCCGUACUUUCGAAAGUACAGGAGACUUACUAUAUAUAUAUAUAUAUAUAUAUAGAGAGAGAGAGAGAGAGAGAGAGAGAGAGAGUUGAGGUAGAAUACAUUCAAAAGCACCAAUGAGGUGGUGCUUUUGAGUUUUUUUAACCAUUGGAUGGAGGAAUGUAAGGUUGUGAUGAUGGUGGUAGGUGGAAUAGCGUUUGAUUCAAGGGUUAUUAGUAAUGAAAGAGUAGAUCCAAGAGCUAGAAACUUAAAAGCACCAAUGGGGUGAUACUUUUAAAAGUAUUCUAGCUCAAUUCUAUAUAUAUAUAUAUAUAAUGUAUUUUAAUUAUAUAUAGGCUUUAAUUUAAUUUGGGCCAUUAUUGUUGGCCAAUAAAAUAAUCCCAACAAGUACAACCGUGCAAUUGAGCCCAACUCUAAAUUUACAUAACACACUCUCUCUUUCAGACUUUCACUGUUGCACAUAAUCCUAAAACAUGAUAACAUUCAAAUUCUCAAAUCCCUAAUUGUUUUCCCCUCUCUCUCUCUCUCUCUCUCUCUCUCUCUCUCUCUCAGACCCUCACCCAGUCAGGCAGUCACCCUCUCUCUCAGACCCUCACCCAGUCAGGCAGUCACCCUAACUCAUAUUUCUUGUAAUUAUUUUGUAUUUUGAACUAUUGGACAUGUUGCAUUAAAUUAUAGGUAAUGUUAUAUAAAAAUUAAACUAUUGAUUAUAUAAUGUCGAGAAUUUCAAUCGGCUCGUUUAGAGCUCGAGAUCGGCUCGACUCGAAAUUAGGCUCGCUCGAGCUCGGCUCGAAUUAAUUUCAAGCCGAGCUUGAGCCUAGAUUUAGGCUCGAAAUUAAUUUCAAGCCGAAUUUGAGCUGACAUAAGCUCGCUCGAGCUCGGCUCGUUUUCACCCCUAUUAUUUAGAGCCUAUUUGAUUCCUUGAAAAAUACCC
This 1607-nucleotide long non-coding RNA is filed under the name Ananas comosus (pineapple). Its description in RNAcentral is "long non-coding RNA (ACOM_LNC020745)". Lineage: Eukaryota; Viridiplantae; Streptophyta; Magnoliopsida; Poales; Bromeliaceae. The record is from RNAcentral.